Molecule: long non-coding RNA, 1924 nt
Organism: Cyprinus carpio (common carp)
Lineage: Eukaryota; Metazoa; Chordata; Actinopteri; Cypriniformes; Cyprinidae
Source: Ensembl
AUGUUAUUUUGUGGGUAUUUCCUCACAGCUUUGAUCAUCCUCAAGCCGCAUUUUAGUGCUGCUGAAUACUCUGCCCCACCGGCUCCUACACUGACCCAGACAGCCACCAGAGGCUCAUCUGUGAAGUUGUUGUGUCAGGCUCCAGAAGGUUAUGGUGGACUUGUAUUUAAACUUUUCAAAAUGCGCCAGCAGAUAGAUAAGGUUGAGAAUUCAACCAAACAGAAAAGGGCUUUCUUUAUUCUUAGGGGAAAAGAUACAGAAAAAGAGAAUCUGUAUUGCUGUCAGUAUGACAGCAGCAUGAUCAGUUCCUAUUUGCAGCCAGAGCAGAAAGUCGGUCCCCCUCCAUCCCCUGAACUGGUGGUCGAGCCCUCUAGUGGGAAUGUUAGUCCUGGUGAAACACUGUCAUUCCACUGUCAGGCUCCACCUGACCGUCAGAAACCGUCUCCUGAGGCUUUUCUCUUGCUCCGGAGAGCCAAAGGAACCCCGGGCUCCAUGGUUGCUCCAGCCCAGCUGGUGUCUCAGUCCCAUGAAGCUUACUUCAGUGUGAAGGCAAAGGGACGGGAGGACGGUGGGGACUAUGUCUGCCUCUACCAACUCAAAUCACAGAAGACGGGACAGGUGAACUCCACAGCCAGUCAGCCGGUGCACAUUACUGUCAUAGAGCUCCCAGUCCCCACUCUGUCCUUGUCCCGAAGCGAGGGUGAAUUUCUGGAGUGUGUUGGGUCACCCUCAUAUCCUCAAGGCUACUUCAGUUUAUUUCGUGUCGGUGUCCUGUCACCUGAGGCAACCCAUCAGGCGUCCCUGAUCCAACACAGUGCUAGAUUUCCCAUACCCAUCCGUUAUGAACAUGGUGCACAGUAUCAGUGUCAGUACAGCGUGUCAUUGGGCAACACCAAGGCGUACUCUAAAAUGAGCUCACCAAUUACUAUCCCAUGCAUUACAGGAUAUCAUCUAUGCACAUCGAGCUCUACAGGCAGCACAGACCUGGCUCUGAUUGUUGGCUCUGUGUCUGCGGGUGUUCUGUUUCUCAUGGUGGUGGCAAUCUUGGGCUUUGCCGUGCACAGACAUCUCAAAAACAUGUCAGAGAGAAGGAGACAAAGAGAUCAAGAAAAAUUCUGGCAAAAUGUGCACUCCAGAGAUCAUAUUGUUGAUCUCACUCUGCAGCGUGUUGACAUUGGAACUGAGGAAAAUGGACAAAUGCUUAGAGGAAGACCCUCAUUUUCAGAGCCCAUCUACGAUUAUCCCAUGGCAACCUUUAAGAACGCCUCAGUUUUCUGAUGUCUAUCUAUCUAUCUAUCUAUCUAUCUAUCUAUCUAUCUAUCUAUCUAUCUAUCUAUCUAUCUAUCUAUCGAUCAACGGACCAGAUGCUACAUUUUGUGUUUGACAUAUUCUGUAUAUUGUGAUGUAUAUUUAAAAGCUGAAACAUUUUUUAUAUAUUUGUAAAGUAAUGAAUGAGUAAACAAUUUACUGUAGUUUCUGUAGUUCAUAGUACUUUUCACUGAGAUAUGAAUUUUUCUGUCAGCAGGGGGCUCUGGACAUCCAGAUAUAAUGUGAGAUAGACAUUUCAGUGAAGCACUGGCAGUUUUAAGUGUUGGGAAUUAAAUCUUUGCAAAUCGUUUUAUAGAUUUAAUCACCUAAAGCUGAAAAGUGAAAUCUUUUAUUUGCAUUUUUGCACAGCAGAGGACACUUAGUUCAAGUGGUGCUUAAGAACUUCUUUCAGUUCCUCUUUGCUUAUCAUGAAAAUUUAAAAGGAAAUUAAUUUGACAGUCAUGCCAGAACUACAUUAUUUGAUGCUAGUUUUUUUUUAAGACUUUUUGUUCCCAAUUUUUGUUCCCAUCUAUGUGUUCACAUAGCCUGAAACUAUUUGAAGUAUCAUGAUAACAUUUUAAUUAUCAAACAAUAAACCAUUUAUAGCUCUCUUACA